RNAcentral lists this ribosomal RNA (700 nucleotides) under Bacillus velezensis. Its description in RNAcentral is "bacterial SSU rRNA". It matches the Rfam family "Bacterial small subunit ribosomal RNA", at positions 184 to 868 of the family's 1533-position model. Lineage: Bacteria; Bacillati; Bacillota; Bacilli; Caryophanales; Bacillaceae. The record is from RNAcentral.
AACCGCAUGGUUCAGACAUAAAAGGUGGCUUCGGCUACCACUUACAGAUGGACCCGCGGCGCAUUAGCUAGUUGGUGAGGUAACGGCUCACCAAGGCGACGAUGCGUAGCCGACCUGAGAGGGUGAUCGGCCACACUGGGACUGAGACACGGCCCAGACUCCUACGGGAGGCAGCAGUAGGGAAUCUUCCGCAAUGGACGAAAGUCUGACGGAGCAACGCCGCGUGAGUGAUGAAGGUUUUCGGAUCGUAAAGCUCUGUUGUUAGGGAAGAACAAGUGCCGUUCAAAUAGGGCGGCACCUUGACGGUACCUAACCAGAAAGCCACGGCUAACUACGUGCCAGCAGCCGCGGUAAUACGUAGGUGGCAAGCGUUGUCCGGAAUUAUUGGGCGUAAAGGGCUCGCAGGCGGUUUCUUAAGUCUGAUGUGAAAGCCCCCGGCUCAACCGGGGAGGGUCAUUGGAAACUGGGGAACUUGAGUGCAGAAGAGGAGAGUGGAAUUCCACGUGUAGCGGUGAAAUGCGUAGAGAUGUGGAGGAACACCAGUGGCGAAGGCGACUCUCUGGUCUGUAACUGACGCUGAGGAGCGAAAGCGUGGGGAGCGAACAGGAUUAGAUACCCUGGUAGUCCACGCCGUAAACGAUGAGUGCUAAGUGUUAGGGGGUUUCCGCCCCUUAGUGCUGCAGCUAACGCAUUAAGCACU